GAUGAACGCUGGCGGCGUGCCUAAUACAUGCAAGUCGAGCGAACGGACGAGAGGCUUGCUCCUCUGAUGUUAGCGGCGGACGGGUGGGUAACACGUGGAUAACCUACCUAUAAGACUGGGAUAACUUCGGGAAACCGGAGCUAAUACCGGAUAAUAUUUUGAACCGCAUGGUUCAAAAGUGAAAGACGGUCUUGCUGUCACUUAUAGAUGGAUCCGCGCUGCAUUAGCUAGUUGGUAAGGUAACGGCUUACCAAGGCAACGAUGCAUAGCCGACCUGAGAGGGUGAUCGGCCACACUGGAACUGAGACACGGUCCAGACUCCUACGGGAGGCAGCAGUAGGGAAUCUUCCGCAAUGGGCGAAAGCCUGACGGAGCAACACCGCGUGAGUGAUGAAGGUCUUCGGAUCGUAAAACGCUGUUAUUAGGAAAGAACAUAUGUGUAAGUAACUGUGCACAUCUUGACGGUACCUAAACAGAAAGCCACGGCUAACUACGUG
RNAcentral lists this ribosomal RNA (497 nucleotides) under uncultured bacterium. RNAcentral describes it as "partial 16S ribosomal RNA". It matches the Rfam family "Bacterial small subunit ribosomal RNA", at positions 28 to 507 of the family's 1533-position model. The record is from RNAcentral.